This 1359-nucleotide ribosomal RNA is filed under the name Triticum aestivum (bread wheat). RNAcentral's name for it is "partial small subunit ribosomal RNA". Lineage: Eukaryota; Viridiplantae; Streptophyta; Magnoliopsida; Poales; Poaceae. The record is from RNAcentral.
AUGCUUCCGCCCUUACGUAUGAGGGGCCACACCAAGGUCAAAGAGAUGAACUACGACAACCGCUACAAGCCAUAUUACAGGAGAGCCGGGCUCUUGGGUUUCGUGCUCCAGUUCAAGCGUAUGCCGCCGAUGCUUGUCCACACGGCUCUCACAUCGUUGGUGGACCGUUGGCGGCCCGAGACACACUCUUUCCAUCUCCCAUGUGGUGAGAUGACGGUGACGCUCGAGGACUUUGCCAUGAUCACGGCCCUACCGAUCAAGGGCCAUGCUCUCAUUGGGUGCGUGGAUAAGAAGAACUGGCCGGACAGGGUUACCGCCCUCAUCGGCGACUGCCCUCCCAUCAAGAGUAACCGAACAUCCGGUGUAGCACUGGCAUGGCUCCUAGACCACCGGGCUGAAUGCCCGCAAGAUGCGGAUCCGAGGACCGUGGAGCAGUAUGCAAGGACCUACCUAUGGUUUCUUUUCACAGAGGUGGUCUUUCCUGACUGCUCGGGGGACAACGCCCUAUGGAUGUACUUGGACUUCCUGGCCGACUGGGAUGCAGGGUACAGCUGGGGGUCUGCUGGCCUCGUGUACCUCUACCGUUCACUGGAUGACGCAACACAGAGGACCGAGAAAACAUCUGGGAUGUGUGGGUGUGUCUGGGCCCUCUCGAUUUGGAGUUGGGAGCGGCUGCCGGUUGGUCGCCCUGAGAAGCUGCCACAGACAGAGUGGACGGAGUAUGGCGAGGAUGGCGACCGUUCUCGAUACCCUACUGUCGCCUAUUCUUGGGACAAGGUUAAGGUCUUCUCGGGCAAGGAAAGUGCGAUGUACAAGGCCUUCACCAAUGAGCUGGACAACCUGACAUCUUUUCAGGUUAACUGGUGGCUGUACCACGAUAGAGCUUGGGGGUUCGAGCUGAACGAGAUGUGCGAGCGGGACCGCCUUCUCUUCUGGUGCAUUGUCCCGCUGAUAUGCGUGUACGCCGUCGAAUGGCACCUACCACAACGCGUGGCGACACAAUUUGGCGUAUUGCAACACACACCACCAGCAAGGCCCCACGACACCGGCGGUUACGACCUUCACAAGAAGAGCAAUCAGUAUUCUCAGUCGAUAUUGGACUGGGCUGACGAGCACAAGUCUUUUGUGACAAUGUGGGACGAGAGGACGUUCCGCAAAGAUGGGGAGAGGUCAGGCAUUUGCUGGAAUGUGUAUGAGAGGCACAUGAAUUGGUAUGACGAUGGCAUCAAGUUUCGUCUGCAUCUGAGGCCACGAUGGACGGAAGUGGACAUGGCAUCACUUCAGGAGGAGGAGGACUCUGAGGAUGAAGAAACCUCAGAGAUAUGCAAGGUGAUUUCAGGGAGUAUGCGCCCCUUAUGA